Molecule: non-coding RNA, 296 nt
Organism: Anolis sagrei ordinatus
Lineage: Eukaryota; Metazoa; Chordata; Lepidosauria; Squamata; Anolidae
Source: RefSeq, a predicted model, not a curated record
UCCUCUGACAGCCCACUCUGCCUUGCACCAUUCCUGCCUGCCGGCUAUCCUUGUGAAGGAAGGACCGAGGGAAAGGGCUGGUGGCGUUGGGGCUGCAAGUCCGGUGACAGAGCAACAAGGCGACCUGUCAAACUGCUGGAACUAAUGCACUGCAGCUGCUGGAGUGACUCCUGAUUAUGUGUACACAUAAAAGGUGCCGGGAGAAGGACGGAUUAAACAUUGCCGGGUCUGUUAUGAGGUUAAAACACUGGGAAGGAGAAAGGCCAUAUAUGUCAUUUUGAGCUUAUCAGAAGAAA